Fundulus heteroclitus (mummichog) is the source of this 211-nucleotide long non-coding RNA. RefSeq lists it as uncharacterized. Lineage: Eukaryota; Metazoa; Chordata; Actinopteri; Cyprinodontiformes; Fundulidae. The record is from RefSeq and is a predicted model, not a curated record. The transcript has 2 exons.
GCCCAGAGUUUAUCUGGAAGAUGACAGAUGGACCCUCAAUAAAAGUAGAAACAGAAGACAGAGAAAUGGCCUCAGAGAGCCCUUUAAGAAUGGGGGAAAAAAAACAUCUAUUUUUGUCUUAGAGUGUAAUCAAUAAAAAUGUUUUUUACCAUAUUGUUCUUAUCCUACUGACUGUUGCAGAUAAAUAAAUUUUCUUAUCUGUAACAACGUC